UUAUCGGAGAGUUUGAUCCUGGCUCAGGACGAACGCUGGCGGCGUGCCUAAUACAUGCAAGUCGAGCGGACAGAUGGGAGCUUGCUCCCUGAUGUUAGCGGCGGACGGGUGAGUAACACGUGGGUAACCUGCCUGUAAGACUGGGAUAACUCCGGGAAACCGGGGCUAAUACCGGAUGGUUGUUUGAACCGCAUGGUUCAAACAUAAAAGGUGGCUUCGGCUACCACUUACAGAUGGACCCGCGGCGCAUUAGCUAGUUGGUGAGGUAACGGCUCACCAAGGCGACGAUGCGUAGCCGACCUGAGAGGGUGAUCUACCACACUGGGACUGAGACACUACCAGACUCCUACGGGAGGCAGCAGUAGGGAAUCUUCCGCAAUGGACGAAAGUCUGACGGAGCAACGCCGCGUGAGUGAUGAAGGUUUUCGGAUCGUAAAGCUCUGUUGUUAGGGAAGAACAAGUACCGUUCGAAUAGGGCGGUACCUUGACGGUACCUAACCAGAAAGCCACGGCUAACUACGUGCCAGCAGCCGCGGUAAUACGUAGGUGGCAAGCGUUGUCCGGAAUUAUUGGGCGUAAAGGGCUCGCAGGCGGUUUCUUAAGUCUGAUGUGAAAGCCCCCGGCUCAACCGGGGAGGGUCAUUGGAAACUGGGGAACUUGAGUGCAGAAGAGGAGAGUGGAAUUCCACGUGUAGCGGUGAAAUGCGUAGAGAUGUGGAGGAACACCAGUGGCGAAGGCGACUCUCUGGUCUGUAACUGACGCUGAGGAGCGAAAGCGUGGGGAGCGAACAGGAUUAGAUACCCUGGUAGUCCACGCCGUAAACGAUGAGUGCUAAGUGUUAGGGGGUUUCCGCCCCUUAGUGCUGCAGCUAACGCAUUAAGCACUCCGCCUGGGGAGUACGGUCGCAAGACUGAAACUCAAAGGAAUUGACGGGGGCCGCACAAGCGGUGGAGCAUGUGGUUUAAUUCGAAGCAACGCGAAGAACCUUACCAGGUCUUGACAUCCUCUGACAAUCCUAGAGAUAGGACGUCCCCUUCGGGGGCAGAGUGACAGGUGGUGCAUGGUUGUCGUCAGCUCGUGUCGUGAGAUGUUGGGUUAAGUCCCGCAACGAGCGCAACCCUUGAUCUUAGUUGCCAGCAUUCAGUUGGGCACUCUAAGGUGACUGCCGGUGACAAACCGGAGGAAGGUGGGGAUGACGUCAAAUCAUCAUGCCCCUUAUGACCUGGGCUACACACGUGCUACAAUGGACAGAACAAAGGGCAGCGAAACCGCGAGGUUAAGCCAAUCCCACAAAUCUGUUCUCAGUUCGGAUCGCAGUCUGCAACUCGACUGCGUGAAGCUGGAAUCGCUAGUAAUCGCGGAUCAGCAUGCCGCGGUGAAUACGUUCCCGGCCUUGUACACACCGCCCGUCACACCACGAGAGUUUGUAACACCCGAAGUCGGUGAGGUAACCUUUUAGGAGCCAGCCGCCGAAGGUGGGACAGAUGAUUGGGGUGAAGUCGUAACAAGGUAGCCGUAUCGGAAGGUGCGGCUGGAUCACCUCCUUU
Molecule: ribosomal RNA, 1547 nt
Filed under: Bacillus subtilis
Lineage: Bacteria; Bacillati; Bacillota; Bacilli; Caryophanales; Bacillaceae
Description: bacterial SSU rRNA
Rfam family: Bacterial small subunit ribosomal RNA
Source: RNAcentral